This 556-nucleotide ribosomal RNA is filed under the name uncultured bacterium. RNAcentral describes it as "bacterial SSU rRNA". It matches the Rfam family "Bacterial small subunit ribosomal RNA", at positions 94 to 630 of the family's 1533-position model. The record is from RNAcentral.
AGUGGCAAACGGGUGAGUAACACGUGGGUGACUGCCUUCGAGUGGGGGAUAACGUCCCGAAAGGGACGCUAAUACCGCAUGACAUCCUGCCUUUUAAGAGGCGGAGCUUAAAGCUGGGGAUCGCAAGACCUGGCGCUUGAAGAGGGGCACGCGCCUGAUUAGCUAGUUGGUGGGGUAACGGCUCACCAAGGCAACGAUCAGUAUCCGGCCUGAGAGGGCGGACGGACACACUGGGACUGAGACACGGCCCAGACUCCUACGGGAGGCAGCAGUGGGGAAUUGUUCGCAAUGGGCGCAAGCCUGACGACGCAACGCCGCGUGGAGGAUGAAGAUCUUCGGGUCGUAAACUCCUUUCGAUCGAGACGAACGACUUCCGGGUGAACAAUCCGGGAGAGUGACGGUACCGAGAGAAGAAGCCCCGGCUAACUCCGUGCCAGCAGCCGCGGUAAUACGGGGGGGGCAAGCGUUGUUCGGAAUUACUGGGCGUAAAGGGCUCGUAGGUGGCCAACUAAGUCAGACGUGAAAUCCCUCGGCUUAACCGGGGAACUGCGUCUGA